Molecule: ribosomal RNA, 208 nt
Filed under: uncultured bacterium
Lineage: Bacteria
Description: partial 16S ribosomal RNA
Rfam family: Bacterial small subunit ribosomal RNA
Source: RNAcentral
UACGUAGGUGGUUUAUUAAGUCAGAUGUGAAAGCCCUGGGCUUAACCUGGGAACUGCAUUUGAUACUGGUAAACUAGAGUAUGGUAGAGGGGGAUAGAAUUCCUAGUGUAGCGGUGAAAUGCGUAGAUAUUAGGAGGAAUACCAGUGGCGAAGGCGGCCCCCCUGGGCCUAUACUGACACUGAGGUACGAAAGCGUGGGUAGCGAACA